Molecule: non-coding RNA, 194 nt
Filed under: Oscillospiraceae bacterium
Lineage: Bacteria; Bacillati; Bacillota; Clostridia; Eubacteriales; Oscillospiraceae
Description: 6S RNA
Rfam family: 6S / SsrS RNA
About the family: E. coli 6S RNA was the first non coding RNA to be sequenced, but its function was unknown until recently. It consists of 184 nucleotides that fold into an extended hairpin structure with a large single-stranded internal bulge. The 6S RNA specifically associates with RNA polymerase holoenzyme containing the sigma70 specificity factor.
Source: RNAcentral
UAUCCCCUGCUUCUCGCGUGACGGGCUCAUUUAAACCCACAUUGUAACAUCGGGAUUCCUUUCUUCCACCGCUGUUUUGCAGGCCUCCCGGCGCGGCGCGCCGGAUGUUGGAAGCAGUGAAGCGACGGAGAGGUUGCCCACCUGCAUAGACGUGCAGGUUAUAAAAGGGUUCGCACGGUCACAGCGGAGGAUAA